Molecule: long non-coding RNA, 552 nt
Filed under: Ananas comosus (pineapple)
Lineage: Eukaryota; Viridiplantae; Streptophyta; Magnoliopsida; Poales; Bromeliaceae
Description: long non-coding RNA (ACOM_LNC001934)
Source: RNAcentral
CUUUAUACAAUUUAAUGCUUAUACAAUUUAUACAAAUUCGAUACAAAUUUGUUUCUUUCAUACUGAACUCUGAGCUAGACUGCUUCAGGGUACUGCUAUCUCUGGUCUCGGUGGUAGGGCGCUAUCUACGAAGCUACGCCCAGUCCUCGCGCCGCCGCACCGCUCACGUGCGAACCUGUACCCCCAAAACAACAUGGGGGUGAGAACUAUAUAAAUAGUUCCCAGUGGGUACGGCCACCCAAGAGAAGAGCUCGACCCACCAGGUCCAAAGGAGGCAACUGCAGGUUAGUAAACUGAACAGAUAGAUAGAUAUUCGAUGAUACAAUUAAUAAAACCAUACCUUGCCUCGCGAUAUGCAAUAUGUAAAUCAUGCAACUAUGUAACAAGUAGAUCUACUGAUCCUACUUUAUAUCUUUAACCAUUCUUUACUUGUAGCCGUUCUUUAUUAGCUGUUUACGUUCAUUAGCUAUUCUUUAUUCUUAUUCUUUAUUCUUAUUCUUUAUUCAUAUCGUGCUCACCGGCGAUUCUUUCCUAAGGUUACUUUACCUUAGU